RNAcentral lists this ribosomal RNA (254 nucleotides) under uncultured bacterium. Its description in RNAcentral is "partial 16S ribosomal RNA". It matches the Rfam family "Bacterial small subunit ribosomal RNA", at positions 524 to 776 of the family's 1533-position model. The record is from RNAcentral.
GACGAACCGUGCGAACGUUAUUCGGAAUCACUGGGCUUAAAGCGCGUGUAGGCGGGCCGGCACGUCGGUGCCUGAAAGCCCCCGGCUCAACCGGGGAAGGGGGGCCGAUACGACCGGCCUGGAGGGACGUAGGGGGACCUGGAACUUCCGGUGGAGCGGUGAAAUGCGUUGAGAUCGGAAGGAACGCCCGUGGCGAAAGCGGGGUCCUGGACGUCUGCUGACGCUGAGACGCGAAAGCCAGGGGAGCGAACGGG